AUGGCUUGUAAUGCUUCGGGCCGGUGUUACAGCCAUGGAAGACAUCAAGUUUCCAACCAAGUGUGGGUGCUGCAGUCAUACCAAUAUAUGGGACAGGCGGCUUUUCACCCUGUGGGUUUGGGUCAGAAAGGGUUUGACCUUCCCAGGGAGCACUGUGCCCUGAUACGCACCGCGUCCCAUCCGCAGUGCAGCCCCAGUGCCUGCGGUGCAGCUCUGGGCACGGGGCAGCAGGUCCCUGAUGCUCUGCCAGCUGUGGGGCUUUGGAACAACCGCUCCGGGGCUCUGCAUCUCAGACCGAACACAACCGCAUCAUGCAGUGGGAACACCACCAAGACGGCUCUGCAGAUCCCCCGGUGCCAGGCUCCCAUCUACGCGUGGUUAAGCAGUGCGAGAAGGAAGACCUUGCUUUCUCCUCUCCCCCACGGGGCAGCUCCAAUGGGCACAGCAGGGGCAGCUCCACUGGGGCUGGCACCGCUCCGUGCCCCGUCCCCAUCCCAGGGCAGCCUGAACCUCGCCGCCCCUUCUCUCCCCUCUGCAAAGCUGUGUGCUAACGCCAACCUCAUGUUUUCCAGUUCCUCUAGAUUUACCCCCACUCUUUUUUUUUUUUUUUUUAAAUCUCCCCGCUUUCCUUCCUUCCUUUUUUUUUUUUUUUUUUUUUUUCUUCCUGGGUUAAAAAUAAUCAAGUUUCUGGGAAGCAGCAACUCCUGCUGCGCUGCCUCCCCGCACUCGCCCCGGAGAAUAGCUCAGCCCGGCGCUGGGCUGCGGCCCCUCCUCGCUGCUCGCUCCUUCCUCCUCCCCACCCCCUACAGGGAUCUGACUAAUAUGCUCGGGCUCUGCUUGCCAGCUCAGCUGGAAAGGAAUUUAACCGUUGCGUGGUCUGGAGGGAAGAGCGGGGAGCCCAGAGCUGCCCCGCAGAGCUGCGACCCUCCUCGCAUCUCUCCUGGUUGGCUCCGUGCCUGGCCACGUUGCCCCGUGCGUGGGGAAGAGGGAUGGGGAAGGAGGGAUGCUCCAUCCCAGCACCCAGCAGCCCCAUCCCGGAGCCCCCGGCGGAUGCAAGGAUCUCCUCCGUAUGUUCCCUGCCUUCUGCUGGGGGCAAAAUGCAGCACCCUGGGUGCUGUGCUCCCAACCAGCAGGGAUCAUGGAAAUGCCUCCCCCACCCACUUGUGCUUCCUGUGCACCAAAACCCCAAAGCAGCGCAGCACGCUGCUCAUCCCAGGCCUCAGCGCUGGGCGGUGGUGA
RNAcentral lists this long non-coding RNA (1239 nucleotides) under Numida meleagris (helmeted guineafowl). RNAcentral describes it as "lncRNA (ENSNMEG00000007792.1)". Lineage: Eukaryota; Metazoa; Chordata; Aves; Galliformes; Numididae. The record is from RNAcentral.